AGUGAACGCUGGCGGUAGGCCUAACACAUGCAAGUCGAACGGCGGCACAGUAAGAGCUUGCUCUUACGGGUGGCGAGUGGCGGACGGGUGAGGAAUACAUAGGAAUCUACUUUUUCGUGGGGGAUAACGUAGGGAAACUUACGCUAAUACCGCAUACGACCUACGGGUGAAAGCAGGGGAACUUCGGACCUUGCGCGAUUGAAUGAGCCGAUGUCGGAUUAGCUAGUUGGCGGGGUAAAGGCCCACCAAGGCGACGAUCCGUAGCAGGUCUGAGAGGAUGAUCAGCCACACUGGAACUGAGACACGGUCCAGACUCCUACGGGAGGCAGCAGUGGGGAAUAUUGGACAAUGGGCGAAAGCCUGAUCCAGCAAUACCGCGUGGGUGAUGAAGGCCUUCGGGUUGUAAAGCCCUUUUGUUGGGAAAGAAAAGCAGCAGGUUAAUACGCCGCUGUUCUGACGGUACCCAAAGAAUAAGCACCGGCUAACUUCGUG
This 492-nucleotide ribosomal RNA is filed under the name uncultured bacterium. RNAcentral describes it as "partial 16S ribosomal RNA". It matches the Rfam family "Bacterial small subunit ribosomal RNA", at positions 29 to 507 of the family's 1533-position model. The record is from RNAcentral.